Molecule: small nucleolar RNA, 112 nt
Filed under: Meriones unguiculatus (Mongolian gerbil)
Lineage: Eukaryota; Metazoa; Chordata; Mammalia; Rodentia; Muridae
Description: Small nucleolar RNA SNORA17 (ENSMUGG00000018708.1)
Rfam family: Small nucleolar RNA SNORA17
About the family: snoRNA ACA 17 belongs to the H/ACA family of snoRNAs and is predicted to guide pseudouridylation of the 28S rRNA at positions U4659 and U4598. It shares the same host gene together with ACA43. NB This family has a high threshold value to exclude a large number of closely related sequences that do not appear to have conserved H and ACA boxes, and may be pseudogenes.
Source: RNAcentral
UCUGCCCCUACAUGCAUUGCAGGUGUGGCUGCUGUGUCAUAUGUGCAUCAAUAGGUGGCAAAGAGGUAAUGUUGUUACCUAUGAACAUAUAAGCAGUUAGUAGCCUAACAUU